Non-coding RNA from Procambarus clarkii (red swamp crayfish), 838 nucleotides. Lineage: Eukaryota; Metazoa; Arthropoda; Malacostraca; Decapoda; Cambaridae. The record is from RefSeq and is a predicted model, not a curated record.
UUGUACCUUGAAGGAGAGAAUAGCUUGUAAUAAGCAAGAUAAAUAUUGUUUUUUAACACAAAUAACUGGCUUUCCUUGUCAAUGCUUUAUCCAAUACUGAAUAUUAACAAACAAAACAAAACAGUCAUGCUAUUGCCACUUACAACAUAUAAACCAACACAACCUGGCUGAUCAGAUACUAUUAUUAUUAUUAGCAUAUUUCAGACUUUCAAAGAAUGGGGAGGCAUUUGCCUGCAGUCUUCAGAAAGUGGAGAGAGCUGCCCGGUACGCCUGCAGUACCGUAUCACGUCGCACCGUGCAACCACCUACCCACCAAAGCCAUAAGUACCAAGACAUUACUCAGUAUAAGAUAAAAAAAAAUGGGAUGACCUUUGACAAGCCACCAGCUUCCUGUAAUCAGAGGCUAAUAGAGAGAGAGGUGCUCAGGCAUAUAUUUAUUAAAUGAAGUUGAGUGAUGUGAUGGACAUAAUCCGGGCUUCAUAAGAACGACGCCCGCCAGCGUUAACACAUCUGACGACCCACAAACAUGGUCGAACGCACAAAACCCUUGACUGUGGCCAAUUUUUGGGUAAACUUCUAUUACAUUUAUUGUGAUAGUGAUAUUUGUAUAUAAUAAUAUGUAUUAAGGAUAAACACCUAACAUGUAAUAUUAAUUAAUAAAAACAAAGUCAGAAGCCACACGCCUGUCUUCACAGUCUAUUGUCUAUUAUGUUGUUUCUUGUAUAAAUAAAUAAUAUAAAUAAAUAAAUAAAUGUUUAGUCAGGUAAGGUAUAUACAUACAAGAGAUUUUACAAAAAUUGAUCGAUUUAUAGAUAGGGCUAGUACAUACAAUGCCUAA